CAGGCCUAACACAUGCAAGUCGGACGGGAUUGGGAGCUUGCUCCCAUGAGAGUGGCGCACGGGUGCGUAACACGUAUGUAACCUACCUUUAUCAGGGGGAUAGCCUCUCGAAAGAGAGAUUAACACCGCAUAAUAUAUAGGAGUAGCAUUACUUUUAUAUCAAAUAUUUAUAGGAUAAAGAUGGGCAUGCGGGACAUUAGCUGGUUGGCGGGGUAACGGCCCACCAAGGCGACGAUGUCUAGGGGAUCUGAGAGGAUGGCCCCCCACACUGGUACUGAGACACGGACCAGACUCCUACGGGAGGCAGCAGUAAGGAAUAUUGGUCAAUGGGCGCAAGCCUGAACCAGCCAUGCCGCGUGCAGGAAGACGGCCCUACGGGUUGUAAACUGCUUUUGCGCCGGAAUAAACCCUUUUAUGUAUAAAAGGCUGAAUGUACGGCGAGAAUAAGGAUCGGCUAACUCCGUGCCAGCAGCCGCGGUAAU
This 482-nucleotide ribosomal RNA is filed under the name uncultured bacterium. RNAcentral describes it as "bacterial SSU rRNA". It matches the Rfam family "Bacterial small subunit ribosomal RNA", at positions 43 to 524 of the family's 1533-position model. The record is from RNAcentral.